GUUUGGGGGAACUUCGUCAGUAUGAGCUUUUUGCUCAACAGAUCCAUCCAGGAAAACAGCGAACUGAAAAUUGAAAGCAGAAUUGAAGAGAUUGUUGAGCCACUGAGAGAGAAAAUCAGAGAUUUGGAAAAAAGUUUCACCCAGAAAUACCCACCAGUGAAAUUCUUAUCAGAAAAGGAUCGUAAAAGAAUUUUGAUCACCGGUGGUGCAGGGUUCGUGGGCUCCCAUCUCACAGACAAACUCAUGAUGGAUGGCCAUGAGGUGACAGUAGUGGACAACUUCUUCACAGGCAGGAAGCGGAAUGUGGAGCACUGGAUUGGCCAUGAGAACUUUGAGCUCAUCAACCAUGACGUGGUAGAGCCCCUCUACAUCGAAGUUGACCAGAUCUACCACCUGGCAUCUCCGGCCUCCCCUCCCAACUAUAUGUACAACCCCAUCAAGACACUGAAGACCAACACCAUCGGGACACUGAACAUGCUGGGGCUAGCGAAGCGUGUGGGCGCCCGUCUGCUCCUGGCCUCCACGUCCGAAGUUUAUGGAGAUCCUGAAGUCCACCCACAGAGUGAGGACUACUGGGGUCACGUGAACCCUAUUGGGCCCCGGGCCUGCUAUGACGAGGGCAAGCGGGUGGCAGAGACCAUGUGCUACGCCUACAUGAAGCAGGAGGGCGUGGAGGUGCGUGUGGCCAGGAUCUUCAACACCUUUGGUCCACGUAUGCACAUGAAUGACGGGCGGGUGGUCAGCAACUUCAUCCUCCAGGCGCUCCAGGGCGAGCCCCUCACGGUGUACGGGUCUGGGUCACAGACAAGGGCAUUCCAGUAUGUCAGGCAAAUAUCCUCAAAUGCCUAUCCAUCAAGAAAUUUUUGUGGUACCUGGGGGCCACCCCAGGGUGCUGGGGGGCAGCCCCACCUCCAUCCGAAGCACCCCAUGGACCUUGUACCACAGGUCAGUGCCUGGGUAGGCAUCUUUGAGGACACUGGAAUUGGAUUUAAAAAUUAUAACCACCACCAUUGAUUUUUCCUGAAAACAGUUACAGUUUCUUACAUUUGUUCCAAAAGACAGCUGUGAAUAAAUGUAUAUCACAGUCAGAAAUAUUUUCUCUCCAACUAUUAGUAACGUUGGGAACAAGGCAAAAGCCUAUAAAUGAAGUACCACAGGCCCACAUGUUGCUUGAACAGGCAAACUUGUCCUGAACAGCAGCUUCUGGGGACCUGUGGCAGCCUCUCUUUGGAGACCAAGCUGGGGUUGCAGCUCAGAGAGCUCCCUUGGGCCCAGUCCACAGUGAGGCUGCAUCACAGGCUCCUUGCUCUGCAUCUGUUUUGCACAGUGAUACAGCUCAUCUGCACUCCCUUAGCUCUCCUUCCCCAGGCGGGCUCCUUCCUGGGGUCUCAGUGGCAGCUGCUGGGCCCUGGCCCCUGUUCAGUGAAUGUGAGUCUUUGAGGGAGAGCAGUGUGACUGUGCCUCCUCCUUGCUGCUCACAUUAUUUCAAAGGCUCCACAUCCAAAAGUCACUGAAAUAGCCUCAGAUAACUUUUUGGAACCCAGAGUAACAAGUAUUAUAAGAACUCAGUGGUGCCUGUGCUGCAUACUGUCCCAGCUUGGGACUUAACAUGCCACCAGCUGGGCUGCCCUGACAGUGAGGCUUGUACCCUGGCUGCUGUCACAUCCAUGCUGUCUCCCAGGCCACAGACACAGGGCAGAGGGCCUAAGUAGCACCUCAAGAAGCACAGGUACAAACCCCUGUGGAAAUCCCUCUGUGACCUGCCAGAAACCUCCUCUGAAGGGGUCCAGGGGAGGCAAUGAGCCUUCAGGAUAGUACCACUUUGUGGGCCAGUUAUUCAGGCCCCAGAUGAGAUCAUAAACUGACCACGGUUUUGCUCUUUUUAACAAGCUACUGUUUUAGGAACUAAGAAUCACGUCAGUAAAAAUGCUUGACAUCUGGAUGGUAGUUUCAGUACUAAAUUAACUGUUCCUCAAGCUGAGACGGCAGGCAGGAACGCAGAGCCCUCUGUGGCCAUCCCCAUUGACAUCUUGGCAUGCCUGUCAGAUUUCCACAUCAGGGUGUCUCCUCAUUCACAUAACAAACGCAUGCUGUAUUCUUUUAAAAAGUCACUUUGUCAAAAUGACACUUUUAAAGAGCCUCAGGUUAAACGAGAGUGAUCUCUACAAUUCUGACCUUAAAAGUUGCCAGCUCAUUGUAUAAGAGAUGCCUGGCCGUCUAGCCCUCCAAUGACAACUGCUUUGUGGCAGCUGUCUCCCGACUUAGUGUGCUCCACACCCUGGCUUCAGUGUGCAACCUGUUGUGGAUGCUACCAAAGGGCAGCUUUUAAUGUCUGCAGCUGUGUGCAGCCAAAGCCCUAAGAGAAGGCUGUGUACUGGAACGUGCACUGCCAUGGCGAUGAAGUGACUUUUUGCAGAGCUCAUCCGAGAUCAGCGAUGAUUGGCAUUUGCACUUGACCUUGAGAACAGCACAUUGAGCAUGUUCAUAUAUAGUACCCAUGUGUUAAAAAUGAAAAAGUAGAAAUGACUUUUUCACCCCACCCUCCAAAACAGAGUAACGUGUGACCCGGGGCUUUCAUCUAGUUCACUAUGACCCUUAGUCACCUGCUCCUCCCUGGUAAUGAUGGUACGAGGAGGGAGGUUUCCACUUGGACUACUUUGGGUCACCGGGACAGAACUUAAGUCUCUGAGAUGUGGAGCUGAUGAGCAAGAGCCUCAGGACAAGUACUUGUGAUCAGCAGUGAGGUGUCAUUUUUAUGAAGUAACUUUUUCUUAACAGAGCCACACUUAAAAGCUUCUGAAACUAAGAACCAAACCUUGGUAAGCGACAGUUUGCUUACUUCUCUUCACCUUCAUGGCCCAGCUGAUCACGACCCAUCUGCCGCAUCAGAUCCCGACAGCUCCAUCCGGGUUUUCUGGGCAGCAGGUGAAGGCUGGGGAGCAGGGAGCCGUGUCCCACUGAGUCCAGCACCCAUAUUGUUUGGCCUCAUCUGUGAUUUGCCAGUAUGGGGAUCGCAUACUGGGCCCCAUUCAUCUCAGUGAAUCUUAUAUUUUAAAAUAAUCACCUGUUUCCAUACCGGUCAGCGAAUUGAGGUGCAUAUCAAGCGUGGGCUUCCAUCGGGUGCUUCUGAGGCGCCAUCUCUCUGGGUGUGUGCCUCUUUGAACCCAUCUCUGGUUUGUGAUUGAGCCUUUAGCAGUGCAGAGUUGCAGCUCAGCCCACGCCACCACCAUCCUGUGUCACAGUCUCCACCCUGCACCAAACGCAAAUCCCAGAGGUCACUGGUAUCAUUUCAUCCACAAAAACCUUAGUAUCAUCAGCACCAUGUUGAGUUGCAGGAUGUUAUUUUGCCAUUCAGCUUUCCAUUCGGGCUUUGUUUGGGGACGGACGGCUAUGAGCUUCCUUCCGGGAGGGCUGUUGCCUGGCUCUCAAGGGCCUUGCAGUGGGGCACCUCACUACCCCCUUCUCUUCCAGUGACCUGGUAAAUGGGCUGGUGGCGCUCAUGAACAGCAAUGUCAGCAGCCCUGUCAACCUGGGGAAUCCAGAAGAACACACAAUCCUGGAAUUUGC
Molecule: RNA transcript, 3567 nt
Organism: Fukomys damarensis (Damara mole-rat)
Lineage: Eukaryota; Metazoa; Chordata; Mammalia; Rodentia; Bathyergidae
Gene: Uxs1
Gene name: UDP-glucuronate decarboxylase 1
Exons: 12
Source: RefSeq, a predicted model, not a curated record